GAUGAACGCUGGCGGUAUGCCUAACACAUGCAAGUCGUACGAGAGUUUUUAACUCUAGUGGCGGACGGGUGAGUAACACGUGAGAAUUUGCCUUUAGGAGGGGGAUAACAAUUGGAAACGAAUGCUAAUACCCCAUAUGCUUUUGAGUGAAAUGGAUUUUAUCCGCCUAGAGAGAAGCUCGCGGCUGAUUAGCUUGUUGGUAAGGUAAGAGCUUACCAAGGCGACGAUCAGUAUCUGGUUUGAGAGGACGAUCAGACACACUGGAACUGAGACACGGUCCAGACUCCUACGGGAGGCAGCAGUGGGGAAUUUUCCGCAAUGGGCGAAAGCCUGACGGAGCAAUACCGCGUGAGGGAAGAAUGCCUAUGGGUUGUAAACCUCUUUUACCAGGGAUGAAUAAAAUGACGUGUACCUGAAGAAUAAGCAUCGGCUAACUCCGUG
Molecule: ribosomal RNA, 441 nt
Filed under: uncultured bacterium
Lineage: Bacteria
Description: bacterial SSU rRNA
Rfam family: Bacterial small subunit ribosomal RNA
Source: RNAcentral